GCUCAGGAUGAACGCUGGCGGCGUGCCUAAUACAUGCAAGUCGAGCGAACAGAUAAGGAGCUUGCUCCUUUGAAGUUAGCGGCGGACGGGUGAGUAACACGUGGGUAACCUACCUAUAAGACUGGAAUAACUUCGGGAAACCGGAGCUAAUGCCGGAUAACAUAUAGAACCGCAUGGUUCUAUAGUGAAAGAUGGUUUUGCUAUCACUUAUAGAUGGACCCGCGCCGUAUUAGCUAGUUGGUAAGGUAAAGGCUUACCAAGGCGACGAUACGUAGCCGACCUGAGAGGGUGAUCGGCCACACUGGAACUGAGACACGGUCCAGACUCCUACGGGAGGCAGCAGUAGGGAAUCUUCCGCAAUGGGCGAAAGCCUGACGGAGCAACGCCGCGUGAGUGAUGAAGGUUUUCGGAUCGUAAAACUCUGUUAUUAGGGAAGAACAAAUGCGUAAGUAACGGUGCGCAUCUUGACGGUACCUAAUCAGAAAGCCACGGCUAACUACGUGCCAGCAGCCGCGGUAAUACGUAGGUGGCAAGCGUUAUCCGGAAUUAUUGGGCGUAAAGCGCGCGUAGGCGGUUUCUUAAGUCUGAUGUGAAAGCCCACGGCUCAACCGUGGAGGGUCAUUGGAAACUGGGAAACUUGAGUGCAGAAGAGGAAAGUGGAAUUCCAUGUGUAGCGGUGAAAUGCGCAGAGAUAUGGAGGAACACCAGUGGCGAAGGCGACUUUCUGGUCUGUAACUGACGCUGAUGUGCGAAAG
Molecule: ribosomal RNA, 755 nt
Filed under: uncultured bacterium
Lineage: Bacteria
Description: bacterial SSU rRNA
Rfam family: Bacterial small subunit ribosomal RNA
Source: RNAcentral